Molecule: transfer RNA, 82 nt
Filed under: Caudoviricetes sp.
Lineage: Duplodnaviria; Heunggongvirae; Uroviricota; Caudoviricetes
Description: tRNA-Tyr
Rfam family: tRNA
About the family: Transfer RNA (tRNA) molecules are approximately 80 nucleotides in length. Their secondary structure includes four short double-helical elements and three loops (D, anti-codon, and T loops). Further hydrogen bonds mediate the characteristic L-shaped molecular structure. tRNAs have two regions of fundamental functional importance: the anti-codon, which is responsible for specific mRNA codon recognition, and the 3' end, to which the tRNAs corresponding amino acid is attached (by aminoacyl-tRNA synthetases). tRNAs cope with the degeneracy of the genetic code in two manners: having more than one tRNA (with a specific anti-codon) for a particular amino acid; and 'wobble' base-pairing, i.e. permitting non-standard base-pairing at the 3rd anti-codon position.
Source: RNAcentral
GGUGGAGUGGCCCAGCGGCGACGGCAGCGGCCUGUAAAUCCGCGACACAGAAACACCGCAGGUUCGAAUCCUGCCUCCACCA